CCUACGGGUGGCAGCAGUGGGGAAUAUUGGGCAAUGGGCGUAAGCCUGACCCAGCAACGCCGCGUGAAGGAAGAAGGCUGUCGGGUUGUAAACUUCUUUUGUCAGGGAAGAGUAGAAGACGGUACCUGACGAAUAAGCCACGGCUAACUACGUGCCAGCAGCCGCGGUAAUACGUAGGUGGCAGGCGUUGUACGGAUUUACUGGGUGUAAAGGGCGUGUAGCCGGGUUGACAAGUCAGAUGUGAAAUCCUGCGGCUUAACCGCAGAACUGCAUUUGAAACUGUUGAUCUUGAGUACUGGUGAGGCAGACGGAAGUCCUAGUGUAGCGGUGAAAUGCGUAGAUAUUAGGAGGAACACCAGUGGCGAAGGCGGUCUGCUGGACAGCAACUGACGGUGAGGCGCGAAAGCGUGGGGAGCAAACAGGAUUAGAUACCCCUGUAGUC
Molecule: ribosomal RNA, 442 nt
Filed under: uncultured bacterium
Lineage: Bacteria
Description: partial 16S ribosomal RNA
Rfam family: Bacterial small subunit ribosomal RNA
Source: RNAcentral